UAGGAGGGCUCUUCAUCUGGUGUGCUCUUACCGGCUUCAGGAUGGUCUUGUUCUACAUAUUAUCAAUUUCAUGUAACGCUUUUGAGUUUGGAGCGAUUUAGAUGAACAAGAGACCAAAUUUUCUAUGUUUACUUGGAGAAUCCCAUAAACCAUUUUUGGUUUUGCAAUUCUGUCUGGUUCUGUUUAGCGUCUAUCUACAAUUCAUCAGUUAAAAUUAGACAUUGUGAUAUUCGUGUUGUCUGAUCUGAGCGAGUGUAAUCGCUGCUUUCAGUGCACUCAAGCUCGGACAGUUUGACUAUAUGGUUAUUGCACAUCCACCCACAUCUUUUAUAUCCUUAUUGGGAUGUAAAAAACUGUCACUAAAAGCUUCCUGUCAGCGGAACCAACGUAUAAUGUGUGCUAUUUUGCAACCAGCCUAAUAUAACAAUUGUUUAUAUAUCAAUAUAGAUGCAAUCUUUUGGUCGCUAGACAAUGUUGUGACGAUUAUGCAGAAACAUACAGAUCUGGCCUUCCAGAUCGAUUGAGAGUAUAACUUAACUUAUGUGCUGGAGACACGUGACGAUCAAGAGGGAUGCCUCGGUUCGAGGAGAGAGGCGUCGGUUGCGGUAGCAACCUCACGAUCGUUCGGGCAAUUACAUAUAGUAAUUAAUUCUAACACUCCCCCUAAUCUACACUUGACCAUAUAGAGUCAUCUUCACGAUUAUCCGGGAAGUUCCCUCAAAAAGGUUUCUCCUCCGAAAGUUCUUCAUAACAUAUUUGAUGAGAUCCUGAAAUAUAAACUCACAAAGGGAUAGCAUAACGUGAUGUCUUUAAACAAGAAUAUCUCAAGAAGAGACUCCCCCUGAUUCUUGCAUAUCUGGAACAUAGAAGUUGGUAGAGACCUGGUGAACAAAUCAGUCGCAUGAUUUGACUUGCAAGAUAUGCAAUAUAGUGAUAUUGCUUAUUAUGUAACCUGUUUUCAUCCGGGCAACACAAGAAACAUUAUCGUUGAGAUAAUGGUUGAUGGAUGUAGUCAUGAGGUCUGUUUCGAAGACUCUUCAUGAGAAGGUUACCACACCUAGUAGGAACACUAAGUUUGUUUACGAUCUGACAUAGUGGGGAUCUGCUCGAUGUAUCCAAUGAUAUCGGAGGUCACAUUUCUGUGAAACUAAAAAACCAGGACAAGAUGUUUGAUGGCUUGGAGAUAUCGAAAGAUAUUCUCGAGUACCAACCAAUCGUGUUUGGUAGAUCCAAUGGUGAAAGUGCUAGUUAUCGACUAGAGGAGGGGGGGGGGGAUGAAUAGGCGAUUUUUAUGAAAGUCUUCAAAACAUGGGAGUUUCGAAGACAAAUAAUAGAAAUGAACCUAUUGACAUGCAGCGGAAGGUGGACUACACUAGACAAGCCAUAGUCAAGUAUUCAAUGAAGUGAAAGCACGAAGACUAUUAGCAGCUAAGUUGUAAGGAUUAGGAUGGAAGAUAGUAUGAAGCCAAACAAUGAUAGUCGUCACACAGUGAAGUCAAUCAGAUCAAGCAAGCAGGCAAUGACUUCAUGAAGACAAACAGUAAGUAAAGAGAGGGAGAAGAUAUAACCACUUGCUUGGUGAGGACAAAGAUUUGUUGGACCAGUUCCAGUUGCUGUGACAACUGUACGUCUGGUUAGGGAGGCUGAGAUUCAACUCAGAAGACCGCGUCUUCACCUUAUUCCCUUUGAGCUAAGGACAUUUAGUCCUCACCCAAUCACUCUGGUAAGUCUUCAAGGUAGACUUCCAAACCUUCACAGACUCCGUUCACCGGCAAUCCACAAUGACUCUUGGAUACUCAGAACGCGACGCCUAACCGGCUGGAGGAUUCACAGUCCUCAAGUGUAACAAGUCUUCAGAUCACGCGGACAGAAAGACUUCAGUGAUGCCAAACACUCUUUGGGCUCUGGGUGUUUUGGGCGUUGUCCUCGCAAGGAUCUCUCUCUCAAAGGCUUCGAGGUGGGUUGCUCUCAAACAAAAAAGCCGUGCACUAACUCUGAGCAGCCACCAAUUUAUGGUGUAGGGGGUGGGCUAUUUAUAGCCAGUAGGCAACCCGACCUGAUUUGUCCGAAAUGACCCUAGGUCACUAAGGAACUGACACAUGUCCAACGGUCAGAUUUCAAACACACGCGACAGCUUGAUUUGGGCUACCAGUAAAGCUGACUCAUCCAGCUCUGGAUAAGAUUUGCUCUCAUUGUCUUCGCUCGAAGACAUAGGAUUUGGUUGAGCAUCACUUCAGUCACUCUAAUUUUGUUCACUUGGACCCCACUUAACAGUACGGUGGUUCCUAUGACUCAACAAAGAAGAAAAGGAAACUACAAAACAACUAUGUCUUUGCACUCCAUAGUCUUCACAUGAAUGUCUUCUCGAGUCAUAAUCUUCGUUGUGAAUAUCUUCACAUACCACCAUUGUCUUCAAUGUCUUCUAACAUUUUUAGGGGUCAUCUCCGGUAGUUAAACCGAAUCAAUGAGGGACUACUACCUGUGUUAUCCUGUAAUUCUCACAAACACAUUAGUCCCUCAACCAGGUUUGUCGUCAAUACUCCAAAACCAACUAGGGGUGGCACUAGAUGCACUUACAAUCUCCCCCUUUUUGGUGAUUGAUGACAAACUAGUUGAAGUUUUCAAUGGGGAUAAAAGUAUUUGAAAUUGUAAGGGUAAAGAUAUUGUCUUCAUAAGUAGCAAAAGGCUCCCCCUAAAGAUGUGCAUAUAAGUAUUUUGCUUUUGAAUGCAAAUGCACAUGGCAGGUUGUACUUGUGGAGAUCCUCUUCAACUUAAGAAGACAAUUCAUCAUGCAUGAAAAGAUAUAACGAAGAUAAUGACAAGCAUAAUGAAAAAUGGACGUCUGCGAAAUGACUUCGUGCGGAAUUUAUCGUCGCACAUGCGGAAUUUAUCAUCGCAUCACAUAGUUGAUAGAAAAGGUAGCAGACGACCAUCAAGUUUAAGUGUUACAACUCAAAGAACCAAAUGUAUCAAAAGCGAGAGUUGUAAGCACUUGGCAAAAGGUAUAGCAACCACCCAUAAGGACCCGCUUGAAUACUAUCAACUCAUAUGCUUCUCCCCCUUUUGUCAGUAAGGACCAAAAAGGUUUGAAGACAUAGAGCUUCUACUUGUUCCCAUGAGGUGCAGGGUCGACGUUGGAGUCCGGUGGUGCAGAAGAACUUGGCGCAGUGUUGAUACGAGGCGAAGUUGUAGUUGGUGAAGUGGCAUCGUCUUCGUCAUCAAUGACUCUGGCAUUGACAGUUGCCGCUGAGGAGGAGUACUCAGAGUCUUCGAGUGAGGGAGUCCUACGCAAGACAGCGUUCCUGGGAGGAGUGGAAUCAAAUUUGAAUCUCUCUGUGAAGCCAUCUUGUUGAAGAUCAUCUUCAGAACUGAGUAAUGUCAGACUCUUCCACGACCGCCGACAGGUUUCAUGAGUGACAAAUGCAUUCUUGGUGGCUAGAUUGCGAAUGCGAUUAACAUCCACCAAGAGACUCUGCAUCUGACGCUUCAGCCAGUAAUGAUGCUUAUCCUGUUUCUGAUGUAGUGCCACAAGAAGCUCUCGGUCAUUGAGAACGCGAGAUCGCUUUCGAGGCCUUUGAGCAAUGGUGCUCUCAGUGGCUUCAGUAUGGGCACGAUGAGGUGCACGUGUAUUUCCAGCCAAAGGAUAAACACGAGUUGCAGCAAGAACUCCUUCAAUAGGUUGAGUGAAACUUUGACGAUCGAUGUUGUGAAGAUAAAUUGGCUCCUUGGCAGGCUCUGGGUUUAACAAUGAAAUCAUGCGCUACCAUACUCUUAUAACCUAAAUAAGCAGUGGGCAGCAAUUUUUCUUCUUUUUCAUAGUGCCUAAUAGGUAUGUUAUAAUGUGUAGCAAGGUGUGAAGCAUAAAUACCUCCAAAGAUGGGGCCCUUUGUACGGUUCAGACUUAACCGUUUAGCAAUAAUUCCGCCCAUACUAACAGUGUUAUCGCGGAAUAAACCAUGGAACAAAAUGAUAAUAUCAGGAACACUAAGGUUUCCACAGUUUCCACGACCAAUUAAGCAACGACUAGCAAAUAUGGCAGUAGCGUAAAACAGGAAAAUGUAUGCUAGUGAUUCUUGCAUCGGAAACCUUCCUGGUUUCCCCCACAAUAAUGGUGUCAAUAAACCCGUCCACAUCUUUACGAUGUGGUUCAUCUAAGGUACCCUCAAAGGGUAUUUUGCAAACCUUGUAAAAUUCAUCUAGUGGCAUCUUCUUAACAACAUCAUAUAAAUGAAACUGUACUGAAGGAGGUGAUUCCUUAGGAUAAUAGUAGAAGUUUUGCACAAAAGUAUUGGUGAGUAAGAGAUACUGUUGACGUUGGUCGCGGAGGAAGUCGGUGAGGCCAGCAUUCUCAGCCAAUGAAUAGAAAUCAUCAUAAAUCCCGGCUUCCCUCAAGAAAUCAUCGGAAGGCCAUUCACAUGGCUGGACCUCCGCGGUGCGAGGCAAAUUAUAUUUGGGCCUAUGUGCUUCUUCAUUUUGCUUUUCCUUCGAGCUUCGGCUCGAUGAGCCCCUCAAAAAUCUCUUCAUUAUUUUCUGAAAAAUUCUGAAAUUUUUAGUAACUUCAAACAAAGGUGAACCAAGCUCAACAAAAUUGAUAGCAACUACUCCUACAAGUGCCUAGAGCCUAUAACAUGCAUUAGAACUACUUGGAACCAUAUAAAUUUGACAUGCAAGCUCAAGAACAUGGUCACCUAGGCAGCACAAAUUUGCAAUGAAUAGAGCACUAGAACAAAAACUAAUUGGACCAAUGGAGGAGUCACAUAGCAAGGAACAAUCUCCCCAAGCAGUUUUGUGAGAGGUGCUUUGAGCAAGGAGAUCGAAAAUCGCAGCAAAAUGAGCUAGAACUCGUGCUUGAGCUGGAUAUUGGUGUUUGUGGGAGGAAGAAGGAGUGUGUGGGUGCAGUAAUAAGUGGAGGGGGGCCACCGUGGGCCCACGAGGCAGGGGGGCGCGCCCUCCACCCUCGUGGCCAGGUGCUUGCCCUCCUGCUGUGUUCUCAGUGCCAGAUAUUCUCAAAUAUUCCAGAAAAAAUCAUAUUCCAUUUUCAGGGCAUUUGGAGAACUUUUAUUUUUGGGGUAUUUUUAUAUUGCACGGAUAAAUCAGAAAACAGACAGAAAAAUACUAUUUUUACUUUAUUUCAACUAAAUAACAGAAAGUAGGAGGGUACAGAAGAUUGUGUCUUCUAGUUUCAUCCAUCUCAUGCUAUCAAACGGAAUCCACUAACAAGGUUGAUCAGGUCUUGUUAACAAACUCAUUCCGAAUAACAUGGAACCGGAGAAAUUUCGAAUAACACUAUGUUUCCUCAACGGGGAUAUGCACAUCCCCAAUAAUAAGAAUAUCAUAUUUCUUCUUGACAGUAGGAAGAGGAAAUUCAAAACCUCCAAAUAUAAUCGAUGGAAUUUUUCCAAUAGAAUUGAUACUAUGAACUUGAGGUUGUUUCCUCGGAAAGUGUACCGUAUGCUCAUUACCAUUAACAUGAAAAGUGACAUUGCCUUUGUUGCAAUCAAUAACAGCCCCUGCAGUAUUCAAAAAGGGUCUUCCAAGAAUAAUAGACAUACUAUCGUCCUCGGGAAUAUCAAGAAUAACAAAGUCCGUUAAAAUAGUAGCGUUUGCAACUACAACAGGCACAUCCUCACAAAUACCGACAGGUAUAGCAGUUGAUUUAUCAGCCGUUUGCAAAGAUAUUUCAGUAGGUGUCAACUUAUUCAAAUCAAGAUUACAUAUAAAGAGAGAGAGGCAUAACACUAACACCGGCUCCAAGAUCACAUAAAGCAGUUUUAACAUAGUUUCUUUUAAUGGAGCAUGGUAUAGUGGAUACUCCUGGAUCUCCAAGUUUCUUUGGUAUUCCACCCUUAAAAGUAUAAUUAGCAAGCAUGGUGGAAAUUUCAGCUUCCGGUAUCUUUCUUUUAUUAGUAACAAUAUCUUUCAUAUACUUAGCAUAAGGAUUCAUUUUGAGCAUAUCAGUCAAUCGCAUAUGCAAGAAGAUAGGUCUAAUCAUUUCAGCAAAGCGCUCAAAAUCCUCAUCAUCCUUUUUCUUGGAUGGUUUGGGAGGAAAAGGCAUGGGUUUUUGAACCCAUGGUUCUCUUUCUUUACCAUGGUUCCUAGCAACAAAGUCUCUCUUAUCAUAACGUUGAUUCUUUGAUUGUGGGUUAUCAAGAUCAACAACACGUUCAAUUUCUACAUCAUUGUCAUUACUAGGUUGAGCAUCAUCAUGAACAUCAUCAUUAGCAUUUUCAUUAGGUUCAUGUUCAUUACCAGAUUGUGUUUCAGCAUCAGAAAUAGAAAUAUCAUUUGGAUUCUCAGGUGGUUCAGCAAUAGGUUCACUAGAAACAUGCAAAGUCCUAUCAUUUUUCUUUUUCUUCUUUUUAGAAGGACUAGGUGCAUCAAUAUUAUUUCUCUGAGAAUCUUGCUCAAUUCUCUUAGGGUGGUCUUCAGGAUACAAAGGUUCCUGAGUCAUUCUACCAGUUCUAGUAGCCACUCUAACAACAUAAUCAUUUUUCUUACUAUUCAUUUCAUUGAGCAAAUCAUUUUGAGCUUUAAGUACUUGUUCUACUUGAGUGGUAACCAUAGAAGCAUGUUUACUAAUGAGUUUAAGUUCACCUUUAACUCUAGACAUAUAAUCACCCAAGUGUACAAGCGUAUCGGAAUUGUAUUUCAAUUGUCUACCAAAAUAAGCAUUGAAGUUUUCUUGUUUGACAAUAAAAUUAUCAAACUCUUCUAAGCAUUGUCUAGCAGACUUAUAGUGAGGAAUAUCACCUUCAUCAAAUCUAUAGAGAGAAUUUACCUUUACUACCUGUGUCGGGUUAUCAAGACCAUGAGGUUCUUCAAUAGGUAAUGGAUUAGGAUCAUAUAUUUCUUCAACAGGCGGUAAAUUAAGACCAUUUAUUUCUUCAAUAGGAGGUAAAUUCUUAACAUCUUCAGCUUUAAUACCCUUUUUCUUUCAUAGAUUUCUUUGCCUCUUGCAUAUCUUCAGGACUGAGAAAUAGAACACCUCUCUUCUUCGGAGUUGGUUUAGGAAUAGGCUCAGGAGCUGGCUCAGGAGCUAGCUCAAGAAGUGUCCAAUUAUUUUCAUUUGUCAACAUAUUAUUCAAUAGAAUUUCAGCUUCAUCCGGUGUUCUUUCCCUGAAAACAGAACCAGCACAACUAUCCAGGUAAUCUCUGGAAGCAUCGGUUAGUCCAUUAUAAAAGCAAGUAUUUCAUUUUUCUUAAGAGGAUGAUCAGGCAAAGCAUUAAGUAACUUGAGAAGCCUCCCCCAAGCUUGUGGGAGACUCUCUUCUUCAAUUUGCACAAAGUUGUAUAUUUCCCUUAAAGCAGCUUGUUUCUUAUGAGCAGGGAAAUAUUUAGCAGAGAAGUAAUAAAUCAUAUCCUGGGGACUACGCACACAAUCAGGAUCAAGAGAAUUAAACCAUAUCUUAGCAUCACCCUUUAAUGAGAACGGAAAUAUUUUAAGGAUAUAAAGAUAGCGAGAUCUCUCAUCAUUAGUGAACAGGGUGGCUAUAUCAUUUAAUUUAGUAAGAUGUGCCACAACAGUUUCAGAUUCAUAGCCAUGAAAAGGAUAAGAUUCAACCAAAGUAAUUAUAUCAGGAUCAACAGAGAAUUCAUAAUCCUUAUCAGUAACACAGAUAGGUGAAGUAGCAAAAGCAGGGUCAGGUUUCAUUCUAGCAUUAAGAGGGUGCUGCCUCCAUUUAGCUAAUAACCUCUUGAGUUCAUAUCUAUCUUUGCAAGCUAAAAUAGCUAAAGCAGCUUCUUUUUCAAAAACAUAACCCUCAGGAAUAACAGGCGAGUCUUCAUCAUCACUUUCAUCAAUAUAAUCAGUUUCAAUAAUUUCUUUCUCUCUAACCCUAGCAAUUUGUUCAUCAAGAAAUUCACUAAGUGGCACAGUAGUAUCACGCAUAGAAGUAGUUUCAUCAUAAGUAUCAUGCAUAGCAGAAGUGGCAUCAUCAAUAACAUGCGACAUAUCAGAACGAAUAGCAGAAGCAGGUUUAGGUGUCGCAAGCUUACUCAAAACAGAAGGUGAAUCAAGUGCAGAGCUAGAUGGCAGUUCCUUACCUCCCCUCGUAGUUGAGGGAUAAAUUGUUGUCUUAGCGUCUUUCAAGUUCUUCAUAGUGACCAGCAGAUAUAAAUCCCAAGUGACUCAAAGAAUAGAGCUAUGCUCCCCGGCAACGGCGCCAGAAAAUAGUCUUGAUAACCCACAAGUAUAGGGGAUCGCAACAGUUUUCGAGGGUAGAGUAUUCAACCCAAAUUUAUUGAUUCGACACAAGGAGAGCCAAAGAAUAUUCUCAAGUAUUAGCAGUUGAGUUGUCAAUUCAACCAGACCUGGAUAACUUAAUAUCUGCAACAAAGUAUUUAGUAGAAAAGUAGUAUGAUAGUAGUGGUAAUGGUAACAAAAGUAACGGUAGCAAAAGUAAUAUUUUUGGUGUUUUGUAGUGAUUGUAACAGUAGCAACGGAAAAGUAAAUAAGCGGAGAACAAUAUAGGAAAAGCUCGUAGGCAUUGGAUCGGUGAUGGAGAAUUAUGCCGGAUGCGGUUCAUCAUGUAACAAUCAUAACAUAGGGUGACACAGAAAUAGCUCCAAUUCAUCAAUGUAAUGUAGGCAUGUAUUCCGAAUAUAGUCAUACAUGCUUAUGGAAAAGAACUUGCAUGACAUCUUUUGUCCUACCCUCCCGUGGCAGCGGGGUCCUAAUGGAAACUAAGGGAUAUUAAGGCCUCCUUUUAAUAGAGUACCGGAACAAAGCAUUAGCACAUAGUGAAUACAUGAACUCCUCAAACUAUGGUCAUCACCGGGAGUGGUCCCGAUUAUUGUCACUUCGGGGUUGCCGGAUCAUAACACAUAGUAGGUGACUAUAGACUUGCAAGAUAGGAUCAAGAACUCACAUAUAUUCAUGAAAACAUAAUAGGUUCAGAUCUGAAAUCAUGGCACUCGGGCCCUAGUGACAAGCAUUAAGCAUAGCAAAGUCAUAGCAACAUCAAUCUUAGAACAUAGUGGAUACUAGGGAUCAAACCCUAACAAAACUAACUCGAUUACAUAAUAGAUCUCAUCCAACCCAUCACCGUCCAGCAAGCCUACGAUGGAAUUACUCACGCACGGCGGUGAGCAUCAUGAAAUUGGUGAUGGAGGAUGGUUGAUGAUGACGAUGGCGACGAAUCCCCCUCUCCGGAGCCCCGAACGGACUCUAGAUCAGCCCUCCCGAGAGGUUUUAGGGCUUGGCGGCUCCGUAUCGUAAAACGCGAUGAAUCCUUCUCUCUGAUUGUUUUCUCCCUGAAAGUGAAUAUAUGGAGUAGGAGUUGAGGUCGGUGGAGCGUCAGGGGGCCCACGAGGUAGGGGGCACGCCCUAGGGGGGUAGGCGCGCCCCCACCCUCGUGGGCAGGGUGUGGGCCCCCUGACGUGGAUUUUUCUUCCAGUAUUUCUCUUAUUUUCCAAAUAGAUGUUCUGUGGAGUUUCAGGUCAUUCCGAGAACUUUUGUUUCUGCACAUAAAUAACACCAUGGAAAGUCUGCUGAAAACAGCGUCAGUGCGGGUUAGUUCCAUUCAAAUCAUGCAAGUUAGAGUCCAAAACAAGGGCAAAAGUGUUUGGAAAAGUAGAUACGACGGAGACGUAUCAGCUGGCAUGGCAGGUUCGUUCAAGACCAUUCUUAACUCAACUAACGACAUCAUUACAAAGAACCCAAGGGUCCAUGAGAGAUUUUAUCUCCCCUAUCUUCUUCGCCACGACCCUGCUCGCUGGCGCGCGGACGACGGAAGCCUAGCCUUGUGCAAGUUGAUGCUGCUUGAUAAUGAUACAUGUGAUGUUAAGAUGCCAUCGCUUAAGGGUAAGGCCUGGGCAGGUGCAAAUGGAGAUUGGGUUGUUUAUAUUGGGUACAACUGCGAGUGGGAACUUGUGAAUGUGUACACUCGUCAGCGGAUUCCACUUCCAAAAAUCUCAGAUUGCCCUGAGGUUGAGCACACAGAUGAUAUACGCAUGUUCAAAUACGAUCAUGGUGAAUGUCGUCUACGGAAGAUAGCAAUCUGUCGAGUUCCCAACCGCUCUUGGAAUUACAGGAACUGUCAUGUUGUUGCUAUCUUCGACAAGCUUGUUGCCAUCCUUACUUCCACGCCUCGAUGGAUAUUGCUCAAAAAUCAAUUUAUGUACAUGGAUGAGUACUGUGAUGCAAUUCAAUACGAGCUUCUUGUGUUUGCUGCCACCACUCAUGGCACUGUUUUUGCAUGGAAUCCUUAUGGUUUAGGUACAUUUGUCUUCCACCGUAAUUAUAAUUGUUUCAUCCACAUGCAUGCGGGUUAGCUAGUUUCCCGUUACUAAUUAACCUUCUUGUGUUUCCAAGGUCCUGUGAACAUUCCACCACCUAUACUUGAAAUUUUUUAUAACCAAGGGGGAGAUGACGAUGGUGAUGAUCACGAGCAUGAGGACGAGUAGGACCUAUCACUACAAAAAAAA
Molecule: long non-coding RNA, 10425 nt
Filed under: Triticum aestivum (bread wheat)
Lineage: Eukaryota; Viridiplantae; Streptophyta; Magnoliopsida; Poales; Poaceae
Description: long non-coding RNA (TAES_LNC018068)
Source: RNAcentral